This 506-nucleotide ribosomal RNA is filed under the name uncultured bacterium. RNAcentral's name for it is "partial 16S ribosomal RNA". It matches the Rfam family "Bacterial small subunit ribosomal RNA", at positions 29 to 523 of the family's 1533-position model. The record is from RNAcentral.
AGUGAACGCUGGCGGUAGGCCUAACACAUGCAAGUCGAACGGCAGCACAGGAGAGCUUGCUCUCUGGGUGGCGAGUGGCGGACGGGUGAGGAAUACAUCGGAAUCUACUCUGUCGUGGGGGAUAACGUAGGGAAACUUACGCUAAUACCGCAUACGACCUACGGGUGAAAGCAGGGGACCUUCGGGCCUUGCGCGAUUGAAUGAGCCGAUGUCGGAUUAGCUAGUUGGUGGGGUAAAGGCUCACCAAGCCAACGAUCUGUAGCUGGUCUGAGAGGACGACCAGCCACGGUGGAGCUGGGACACGAGCGAGACUCCGACGGGAGGCAGCCGUGGGGAAUUUUGGACAAUGGACGCAAGUCUGAUCCGGCCAUUCCGCGUGCAGGAUGAAGGCCCUCGGGUUGUAAACUGCUUUUGUACGGAACGAAAAGGUCUCUCUUAAUACGGGGGACUCAUGACGGUACCGUAAGAAUAAGCACCGGCUAACUACGUGCCAGCCGCCGCGGUAA